AUUUAUUCUUUGUUACCAGCGGGUAAAGCCGGGGACUCAAAGGAGACUGCCAGUGACAAGCUGGAGGAAGGUGGGGAUGACGUCAAGUCAUCAUGGCCCUUACGAGUAGGGCUACACACGUGCUACAAUGGUGCAUACAGAGGGAGGCGAAGUAGCGAUACGGAGCGAAACUCAGAAAGUGCAUCGUAGUCCGGAUUGGAGUCUGCAACUCGACUCCAUGAAGUCGGAAUCGCUAGUAAUCGCGAAUCAGAAUGUCGCGGUGAAUACGUUCCCGGGCCUUGUACACACCGCCCGUCACACCAUGGGAGUGGGUUGUACCAGAAGUAGAUAGCUUAACCUUAGGGAGGGCGUUUACCACGGUAUGAUUCAUGACUGGGGUGAAGUCGUAACAAGGUAACCGUAGGGGAACCUGCGGUUGGAUCACCUCCUUACAGAAAGGGUACUUGAGGUGUUAGCUAGGCGUGCUCACACAGAUUGUUUGAUAGGGAAGAAGGCACACCUACGAUGGGUCUGUAGCUCAGGUGGUUAGAGCGCACCCCUGAUAAGGGUGAGGUCGGUGGUUCAAGUCCACUCAGACCCACCAUGAGCGAAGGUUUAUGGGCGUAGGGAAGUACGACGAGGGGAUAUAGCUCAGCUGGGAGAGCGCCUGCUUUGCACGCAGGAGGUCAGCGGUUCGAUCCCGCUUAUCUCCACCAAGUCGGACGGAUGAACGACACGUGAUUUAUUAUCAUUUUGACAGUCGGUCUAUUAAAAGAUGAAUAGGCUAUAAGAUGUCAGAGAAGGAUAUCAGAGGAAGAUAUCAGAGAAAAGAGUGAUAAUAAAUGACGUAAGUCGAAUUGUUCUUUAAAAAACGAGACACAAGCUGAAAACUGAGAAAACUCAAAAGAGCGAGACCGAGAGGUGGCGCACAAGCGCGAGAAUCCUUGAGGUUGUAUAGUUAAGUGACUAAGCGUACACGGUGGAUGCCUUGGCAAUCAGAGGCGAAGAAGGACGUGCUAAUCUGCGAAAAGCGUGGGGGAGCUGAUAAGGAGCGCAAAUCCCACGAUGUCCGAAUGGGGAAACCAAU
RNAcentral lists this small RNA (1066 nucleotides) under Gallibacterium anatis. RNAcentral describes it as "bacterial SSU rRNA". The stretch from base 1 to 431 matches the Rfam family "Bacterial small subunit ribosomal RNA", at positions 1103 to 1533 of the family's 1533-position model. Lineage: Bacteria; Pseudomonadati; Pseudomonadota; Gammaproteobacteria; Pasteurellales; Pasteurellaceae. The record is from RNAcentral.